AGUCAAUUUAUGCAAAAUCCAAAAGUGCACAUCUUCAAGGGGUGAAAAGAAUUCUCAGGUACAUCAAAGACACUCUGCAUUUUAGACUUAGACUUAUUUCACAAUCACCAUGUAGGUUGUAUGGAUACUCUGAUGCUGAUUGGGGAGGUUGUACAACUACUAGAAGUUCAACUACAGGCUAUAGCAUCUACCUAGGUGCAAACUGUAUUUCUUGGACCUCCAAGAAACAAUCCACAGUUGCUCGUUCAAGUGCUGAAGCUGAGUAUAGAGCACUUGCCUCCACUGCAUCAGAGAUGACAUUGAUCAUGUAUUUACUUCAUGAUCUUGGGGUGUUUUUUCUGAUCUGUACCUUCUUACAACUCAUCCUUCACUUGAUCUGUUUGUGUUUGUGAUAUGCUAAAAUCAAAGGCAGGGCUACCUCUGUUUGUCUGGAUAAAUUCAAUAAUGGCCUCUUUUGUUUUAUUACCCUCAAACCGUGACAAACUACCCGUUGAAGAUCUCAAGUAUAAAGUUGGGAAUCCUUCAACUUCAAAUACGUCACGAGGUAUAUCAUUUUCCGUUCCAUCAAUUUUAGCAAUCACGACAUGAGGAUCUUUUUCAAAUGAGAUAGCUAUUUCAUCCAAGACGGGAGCAAACUCCUCACAAUAUCUACACCCAAGUCGAUAGAACUCCAACAGUACAUCUUUUCCCGAAUUGAACACCAUAUCCUCAAGAGUCUCUGCAACCACCACCUUCACAGUUUCAUUGUUAAAUUCUGGAAUUGGCUGUGACUUCAAGUAUGGCUUCAACUUUCCGUCCUUACAAUCCUUCAACCAAGAUGCAAGGUUAUCGGGUUGUACAUGUCGCUGAACGUAUUUUGUGCUACCCAUGGUAAGUACGAAGAUUAAAGGUGUCUGAUCAGUGUCCAAUCCAAAAUACUGAAGGGCCUUUUUACCACUCUCAGCAUCUCCCAAGAGGAAGUUUGUUUCCUUUCCCUUGUAACUGAGUGCAAGAUCAUAGUACUUAAUCUUGAAAGCAUCAAGAUCAGUGCUGAAGUUCAGAAAUAGAAAUACCUUGUCUCCUGGACUAUGCAAAAAGUGAUUAACAAAUUGUUGGUUUUCUGGAUUAUCAUCAAGAAUAGCCAUGAUUGGGACACUAGUUUCUUCAAUGAAAUUCUGCAUUGCCUCAAUUUGAAAAUCCUCGAAAUCAGCAUAAAGUUCAUCAUAUGGCUUCAAUAGACGGAUAGUUGGCUUAUCAACCAGCCCACCACGAGGAAGGAGUUUGGCAUCAAGUGUGUGAACAAAAUCGUAAUCUACUCGUAAAUCUUCAGCUAAAGUAGUAAAAUUGAUGAUCUUCUCUAAAGAGAGUUGUGGAAAUAUACCAGCAACAACAAUCUUUUUCUCAUCAAUAAAGGUUGCAGCAUCUUUCUCGGUUUUGAUUUCAAGAGAUGCAGGGCCCCCAUGUUUUUUCAAAUAAGCAAUUAUACCUUCCGUCUCACGAGUACCUUUGUAAUCAUGAACCGUCUUCCCACCAUUACGGAAGAUCUUAAUGCUUGGAACACCAUUAAUGGUGAAAUUUCUUGCAAGUUCAGCAUUUUCUAGAAUUGUUGUAUCCAUUUUAGCAAGAAUAACUGGAGGAUCAUGAUUACUCAAUACCGAAGCUGCUUCUUCGUACUUUGGCUCAAGUUGCUGGCAGUAUCCACACCAUGGGGCAUAGAACUGAACAACGAUCAUCUUGUGCUGGGAAAUAAUUUGAGAGUAAUUAGUAUGGUCCAAAGUCCAUACAACCUCAUUUUCUGCUGCAAAAGCAGUAACAGCAAGAAGAGCUGCUAAAACAAGAAAUUUCAUCAUCA
RNAcentral lists this unclassified non-coding RNA (1831 nucleotides) under Hevea brasiliensis (rubber tree). The record is from RNAcentral. Lineage: Eukaryota; Viridiplantae; Streptophyta; Magnoliopsida; Malpighiales; Euphorbiaceae.